AUGCAAUGAGUGUGGGAAAAGCUUCACUCACAGAUCAGCCCUUUCUAGACAUCAGAGGAUCCACACAGCUUUGCUUUUUCCCCAUCCCUCCAUGAUGACAUGGAGAAUGUUGAAGUGCAGUUCUAUCAACAGGAGAGAACUCUCUAAUUUACUGGACAGGCUAACAAAGAAACAGCAGUGAUUUAAAAUCUCCACUCAGAAAUGGCGAACAACAGCACAACCCCAGCUAACUGAAGGAAGUGUAUAUGAUCACAGUAUAUUUCAGUUCUUUAAGGUAAUAUUGUCUCCGAUGAUCUGGGAAGAGAAUCCCAUGGUAAGUGGUUUUGAACUAGGCAAAAUGCUCAUGUGUUUGGUUCCCAAACCAUUUGUAACAUAGGCCCUACAGAAGAUCUCUCCUAGCUAAUCCUGUGCUAUGGGAAAUGCAGCCAUUCAUGACACAGAUGUUGAGGAAAUAGAAGUGGAGUUUUUGUCAAAUUUAUCCUUUGUAGGUUCUAAAGAUGUGUAUAAAAUAAAACCAGUGUUGAAAAUGUAA
Gopherus flavomarginatus (Mexican gopher tortoise) is the source of this 532-nucleotide long non-coding RNA. RefSeq lists it as uncharacterized. NCBI's taxonomy places the organism in Eukaryota, Metazoa, Chordata, Testudines, Testudinidae. The transcript is spliced from 2 exons. The record is from RefSeq and is a predicted model, not a curated record.